AGAGUGAACGCUGGCGGUAGGCCUAACACAUGCAAGUCGAACGGCAGCACAGUAGGAGCUUGCUCUUACGGGUGGCGAGUGGCGGACGGGUGAGGAAUACAUCGGAAUCUACCUUUUGGUGGGGGAUAACGUAGGGAAACUUACGCUAAUACCGCAUACGCCCUUCGGGGGAAAGCCGGGGACCAGCAAUGGCCUGGUGCUGAUAGAUGAGCCGAUGUCGGAUUAGCUAGUUGGUGAGGUAAUGGCUACACCAAGGCGACGAUCCGUAGCUGGUCUGAGAGGAUGAUCAGCCACACGU
RNAcentral lists this ribosomal RNA (298 nucleotides) under uncultured soil bacterium. RNAcentral describes it as "partial 16S ribosomal RNA". It matches the Rfam family "Bacterial small subunit ribosomal RNA", at positions 26 to 315 of the family's 1533-position model. The record is from RNAcentral.